Molecule: transfer RNA, 75 nt
Filed under: Thiohalomonas denitrificans
Lineage: Bacteria; Pseudomonadati; Pseudomonadota; Gammaproteobacteria; Thiohalomonadales; Thiohalomonadaceae
Description: tRNA_Gln_TTG
Rfam family: tRNA
About the family: Transfer RNA (tRNA) molecules are approximately 80 nucleotides in length. Their secondary structure includes four short double-helical elements and three loops (D, anti-codon, and T loops).
Source: RNAcentral
UGGGGCGUCGCCAAGCGGUAAGGCACUGGCUUUUGAUGCCAGCAUACGCAGGUUCGAAUCCUGCCGCCCCAGCCA